UGGGUGUGCCAUGUCUCGGGAUAGAGAUUCAGGUUAACAGUAGGUCUCAGAGCUAGCUGCAUUAAACCUUGGCUCUCCUCGGCUUCACAGACUUACGUCUUACUGUGCUGCCUGCCCGAGCAUAGCUAUGCCAGCCACGCUCCUGAGAAGAUGGCAGAGUUCCCUUGCCUAGUUCUGCUGUCUGCACCUGUGUCAGGCAGACGACUGCUGUGGUGGUGACAGAUGCCCAAGAAAGUCUCAUUAAGGGAAGACGACUUAUCUUGGCUCAUGGGUUCACUCCAUCAUGGUGGGGAGGUUACAUCAGCUCUAAGCAGCUCCAGCCACGGCAGGCACGGUGUCCUCCUGGCAGGUUUCCUCCUUCUCCCCCUUACACUCCAUCUCAGCACCCAACCUGUGGGAAGGUGCUGCCCAUGAAGAGGGCCGCACUUAAUCCUCUCACACAUCAAAGGUGAGCACUAACAACCUCCUCAGUGCCUCUCACCCACACCAGCUCCUCAGUGGAGAUCAACCAUUACAGUGCUUUAGUCUGACCCCUCCUCUCCUGGGGUGAGCAGGACCUUGGAGUUUCCCAACAGGCCAUGCCAAAAUUGUGCUAAAGAGAUGACCCCAUGGGUAAAGAAUGAUUGCUGAGUUCAGAUGCAAGUAUCCCUGUAAAAAGCAGGGUGUGGCCACAUACCUGUAACCCCCAUGCUGGGAGUGGGGACAGGAAGGUCUCUGGGGCUGGCUGGCCACCACCCUAGCUGCGGACUGAUUGAGAGACCCUGACUCAAGGGAGAGAAGCAGAGAUCAAUCAAGCAGGACCUCAGUCAAUAUCCUCCUGGCGUCUGCACAUGCACAGUCAGGCUUGUAUACACGUGCACACACACACAUGCACACACACAGAUACACACAUAUACACACACACAGGAUUGUAUACACAUGCACACACAGGCUUGUAUACACACACACACAGGCUUGUAUAUACACACAUGCACAGGCUUAUAUGCAUGCACACACACAGGUUAGUAUGCACACACAAACAAAUCAUGCAUAUGCUGGCACUUUUGGGGUGUGUGUGUGUGUGUGUGUGUGUGUGGUUAGUGUACCAUUGUAGCAUCUGCCCUGCUGGAAUCUCCCUCUCCCUGUUGGAUACAAAGGAACAGUAGCUACAGUGUCCAUGUGUAGGAUCUCCAGAUGACAGGAUGUCUGUUGCCAAGGGAAGUCUCCGUUGAUGGCCAUCAAAAUACUGAAGCUCUGAGAUUUAUAAUCACAAGGGGCUGAGUGUUACCCAGACUGGGGAGCAGGUUUCCCCUGGGCACAGUCUCCAAAUGAGAGCUCAUGCCGCCUUCACAAUGCCUCUGGCAUCCCACAGGAGCCAGCGAGGCUGUGCCUGGACUCCUGACUCACCAGACAGAGCAACGAAUGCGUGCUGUUUUAAGUGGCUCUGUCUGUGGACGUGUUGUUACGCAGCAAUAGAUAACUAACACAGUGUCUCGGCGGGGCUGAACAAGACACUGCAGUCUGAGCUCCUGCUCUGCAUAAGUGCCUGGCAUCUGGUAACGAGAUGUGUGACUGUGCUUUACUAAACAUUUCGUCCCUCACGCCUAACACUCCUAAGGAAACGAGAAAGUUUUAGUUCCCCGAAAAGAACUGAGUCAGCACCUUGAUUGUCAAACUCCUGAAGCAGGUGUCCCAGAUAAAGGACACCAGAUGUGUCACAGCAGCUGGAGUAGGGAAAGUCUGAAAUCACAAAGAUUAUGUCGAGUGCAGCUCUGUGCGCAGGAGAGAACAAAGGGAAAAUGAAAAUCAGGUUUCCUAGGGGAGGUGGGGGGAGCGUCUGUAGUGUGGUGAUGGGGGAGCUUCAGGAGGCACCCCCACUUCCUGUAGACAGAGACGGUUGGCAUGGUUACUGACGGAAUACACAUAGAACAUUUUUUAACCCCUCCCCCCCGUUUCCGUGUGGCUCGAUCUCUUACUCGAGCCCCAGAUGGGGGUCGGGGGUCCCAGUUCACAAUCAGUCCUCUGAGCUGCCUACCUCCCCUGACCUCAGGAUAGCUGUGGGAUGGAAUAAGCUCCCUCUUACAUCAAGGAAGAGGACUAAAAAUUAUUCUGUAAACAUCUUCUGAGUGUUUGCAACUUGUUGCCUGCUCCUCUGAUCUUCUCUACAGUAGCUCUCUGUGUCUGGUGCUUUUCCCAUCACUGGUUAACCAAAUAGUCCCAGGCUAAAAGCAGCCCAGCUGCAUGCUCGGGAGCCCAUGGCCAGUGGUCCCCUGGGAUAGAGCUCAAAUCUACUGAGUCCAGGACUGUGCAGAGCAUCAGUGUGCUCUGAGCCCCCCACCCCCAGCCUUCCAGGGAAGCUCCAAGGUCAGUUUCUUCAUAAAAGAGGCCAUUUGCAUUGU
This 2378-nucleotide long non-coding RNA is filed under the name Mus musculus (house mouse). Its description in RNAcentral is "long non-coding RNA chr5:111158310-111160688". Lineage: Eukaryota; Metazoa; Chordata; Mammalia; Rodentia; Muridae. The record is from RNAcentral.